UACGUAGGGUGCAAGCGUUAAUCGGAAUUACUGGGCGUAAAGCGUGCGCAGGCGGUAAUGUAAGACAGAGGUGAAAUCCCCGGGCUCAACCUGGGAACUGCCUUUGUGACUGCAUUGCUAGAGUACGGUAGAGGGGGGUGGAAUUCCGCGUGUAGCAGUGAAAUGCGUAGAUAUGCGAAGGAACACCGAUGGCGAAGGCAGCCUCCUGGACCUGUACUGACGCUCAUGCACGAAAGCAUGGGGAGCAAACAGG
This 253-nucleotide ribosomal RNA is filed under the name uncultured bacterium. RNAcentral describes it as "partial 16S ribosomal RNA". It matches the Rfam family "Bacterial small subunit ribosomal RNA", at positions 524 to 776 of the family's 1533-position model. The record is from RNAcentral.